This 253-nucleotide unclassified non-coding RNA is filed under the name uncultured Pseudobdellovibrionaceae bacterium. RNAcentral's name for it is "uncultured Bdellovibrionaceae bacterium contains 16S-23S intergenic spacer region". It matches the Rfam family "Bacterial small subunit ribosomal RNA", at positions 524 to 776 of the family's 1533-position model. Lineage: Bacteria; Pseudomonadati; Bdellovibrionota; Bdellovibrionia; Bdellovibrionales; Pseudobdellovibrionaceae. The record is from RNAcentral.
GACGAGGGGUCCUAGCGUUGUUCGGAAUCAUUGGGCGUAAAGCGAAUGUAGGCGGCUUUUCAAGUCAGGUGUGAAAGCCCCGGGCUCAACCCGGGAAGUGCAUCUGAUACUGUUGAGCUUGAGUAUGGUAGAGGGCAGUGGAAUUCCUGGUGUAGUGGUGAAAUACGUAGAUAUCAGGAGGAACACCGGUGGCGAAGGCGGCUGCCUGGACCUAUACUGACGCUGAGAUUCGAAAGCGUGGGGAGCAAACAGG